This 671-nucleotide ribosomal RNA is filed under the name Lachancea sp. CSY01. Its description in RNAcentral is "eukaryotic LSU rRNA". The stretch from base 214 to 367 matches the Rfam family "5.8S ribosomal RNA". Lineage: Eukaryota; Fungi; Ascomycota; Saccharomycetes; Saccharomycetales; Saccharomycetaceae. The record is from RNAcentral.
UGGAGUGGAUACUGUCGAUGGCCUGCGCUUCACUGCGCGGCUUCUCGCGGUUUCCGUUUACAGCUCCCUAAAUUCUUACACACAUUGGAGUUUUUUCCUCUCGGGGAUUAAAUUUUUCUUCGAGUCUAGCAAUAGGCUCGGAGGUCACAAACACAAACAAACCUUUAUGAUAACCAUAGUCAAGUGAAAUUGAGAAAUUUUAUAAUAUUUUAAAACUUUCAACAACGGAUCUCUUGGUUCUCGCAUCGAUGAAGAACGCAGCGAAUUGCGAUAAGUAUUGUGAAUUGCAUUUUUUCGUGAAUCAUUGAAUCUUUGAACGCACAUUGCGCCCUUUGGUAUUCCAGAGGGCAUGCCUGUUUGAGCGUCAUUUCCUUCUCAAACCUCUGGGUUUGGUAGUGAGUGAUACUCUUUACUGGGUUAACUUGAAAAUGCUGGCCUACUUAGGCAGCUGCUGACUCGACUUAUUCUGUCUAGUCUGCUGUUGAUCUAUGCUAUGAAAAAUGUAUUUAGGUUUUACCAACUUGCAUUCGAGUAGUUGUGAGAGAUAGUGGGUGCUAUUAGGACUCUAUAGGCUUGGGAUUGCAUCAGUGGCACACGCCAGGCUAACAAUAUUCAUAAAGUUUGACCUCAAAUCAGGUAGGAUUACCCGCUGAACUUAAGCAUAUCAAUAA